UAAGAUGCCUAGGAAGUGUGUCAUUUGUAAUGUUUAUGAUAAAAAUAGUGACCAAUCAUUUUAUUCCUUUCCUAAGGAUGAGGGUCGCAAGAAUUUGUGGUUAAAAGCUUGUGGAAUUGACCUAUAUCUACCAUCAUACAGAGUUUGUGAGGCUCAUUUUUCUGAUGAAGACUUUUUACCAAGUGGUUACUUAAAAAGUAUUGCUAUUCCAGUAAAUAAUUCUAAACAGCCAGAAUUAUUAGAAUCCACAAAUACAGUUUUUGAGUCAACUUCUCAAGAAACUCUGUCGCCCGAUUGUUAAUGGUGAUCCCGGUUUUACUGACGAAGCAUUUAAAUGCAUAGAAAAUAAAGCAAAAAACGAGACUGUUAUAUGCAAUAUUGUACUUGAUGAAAUGUCUAUUAGAGAACAAACUGACUGGGAUGGAACAAAAAUGCACGGGUUUGUUGAUAUGGGUACAAAAUCAACUGCAAUAUAUAUCAUAAAUAUCUAAUUGAUGAUUCGAGACAUAUAUUUAAAAUAAUAC
This is a long non-coding RNA of Acyrthosiphon pisum (pea aphid), 524 nucleotides long. RefSeq lists it as uncharacterized. The transcript has 3 exons. The record is from RefSeq and is a predicted model, not a curated record. NCBI's taxonomy places the organism in Eukaryota, Metazoa, Arthropoda, Insecta, Hemiptera, Aphididae.